Long non-coding RNA from Neltuma alba, 164 nucleotides. RefSeq lists it as uncharacterized. The record is from RefSeq and is a predicted model, not a curated record. NCBI's taxonomy places the organism in Eukaryota, Viridiplantae, Streptophyta, Magnoliopsida, Fabales, Fabaceae. The transcript has 3 exons.
UAGUUAAUCUUAGAAGAAAUUCAUCUCAGAUAUAUAUCUUACAGCAAUGCAAGUAGUAAAUUAAACGACAGCCUUUCAAAAGGUACUUUGCAGGUAUAAAUCUUUUGUGAUUUAAUAAAGAGAUACUUGUUUAAUUAACUGCAAAAUAACUUUUCCUUGUCUUA